This 74-nucleotide transfer RNA is filed under the name Desmophyllum pertusum. RNAcentral describes it as "tRNA-Lys". It matches the Rfam family "tRNA". From Rfam's summary of the family: Transfer RNA (tRNA) molecules are approximately 80 nucleotides in length. Their secondary structure includes four short double-helical elements and three loops (D, anti-codon, and T loops). Further hydrogen bonds mediate the characteristic L-shaped molecular structure. tRNAs have two regions of fundamental functional importance: the anti-codon, which is responsible for specific mRNA codon recognition, and the 3' end, to which the tRNAs corresponding amino acid is attached (by aminoacyl-tRNA synthetases). tRNAs cope with the degeneracy of the genetic code in two manners: having more than one tRNA (with a specific anti-codon) for a particular amino acid; and 'wobble' base-pairing, i.e. permitting non-standard base-pairing at the 3rd anti-codon position. The record is from RNAcentral. Lineage: Eukaryota; Metazoa; Cnidaria; Anthozoa; Scleractinia; Caryophylliidae.
GCCCGGUUAGCUCAGUCGGUAGAGCAUCAGACUUUUAAUCUGAGGGUCAUGGGUUCAAGUACCAUCAUCAGGCG